Molecule: ribosomal RNA, 272 nt
Filed under: uncultured archaeon
Lineage: Archaea
Description: partial 16S ribosomal RNA
Rfam family: Archaeal small subunit ribosomal RNA
Source: RNAcentral
CAGCGCCACAAGUUGUAUUCAGAUUUAUUGGGCCUAAAGCGUCCGUAGUUGGUUCAGUAUGUCUUUUGUGAAAUCGUUGGACUUAACCCAACGGAAUGCAAGAGAAACUGCUGUGACUUGGGACCGGGAGAUGUUAAGAGUAUUCUUUGGGGAGCGGUAAAAUGCUUUAAUCCUUAGAGGACUACCUGUGGCGAAGGCGCUUAACAAGAACGGAUCCGACAAUGAGGGACGAAAGCUAGGGGAGCAAACCGGAUUAGAUACCCGUGUAGUCC